RNAcentral lists this ribosomal RNA (742 nucleotides) under uncultured bacterium. RNAcentral's name for it is "bacterial SSU rRNA". It matches the Rfam family "Bacterial small subunit ribosomal RNA", at positions 8 to 796 of the family's 1533-position model. The record is from RNAcentral.
AGAGUUUGAUCAUGGCUCAGAGCGAACGCUGGCGGCAGGCCUAACACAUGCAAGUCGAACGAACUCUUCGGAGUUAGUGGCGGACGGGUGAGUAACACGUGGGAACGUGCCUUUAGGUUCGGAAUAACUCAGGGAAACUUGUGCUAAUACCGAAUGUGCCCUUCGGGGGAAAGAUUUAUCGCCUUUAGAGCGGCCCGCGUCUGAUUAGCUUGUUGGUGAGGUAAUGGCUCACCAAGGCUACGAUCAGUAGCUGGUCUGAGAGGAUGACCAGCCACAUUGGGACUGAGACACGGCCCAAACUCCUACGGGAGGCAGCAGUGGGGAAUCUUGCGCAAUGGGCGAAAGCCUGACGCAGCCAUGCCGCGUGUAUGAUGAAGGUCUUAGGAUUGUAAAAUACUUUCACCGGUGAAGAUAAUGACUGUAGCCGGAGAAGAAGCCCCGGCUAACUUCGUGCCAGCAGCCGCGGUAAUACGAAGGGGGCUAGCGUUGCUCGGAAUUACUGGGCGUAAAGGGAGCGUAGGCGGACAUUUAAGUCAGAGGUGAAAUCCCGGAGCUUAACUUCGGAACUGCCUUUGAUACUGGGUGUCUUGAGUGUGAGAGAGGUAUGUGGAACUCCGAGUGUAGAGGUGAAAUUCGUAGAUAUUCGGAAGAACACCAGUGGCGAAGGCGACAUACUGGCUCAUUACUGACGCUGAGGCUCGAAAGCGUGGGGAGCAAACAGGAUUAGAUACCCUAGUAGUCC